Non-coding RNA from Thamnophis sirtalis, 3037 nucleotides. Lineage: Eukaryota; Metazoa; Chordata; Lepidosauria; Squamata; Natricidae. The record is from RefSeq and is a predicted model, not a curated record.
CUCGCUGGCGUCAGAAAUAGAAACGACUCGGUCCAGUUUGGCGACAAUCGAGAGAGGAACGCGCCGGCUCGAAGGGCGCCCUGGAUUUUCCCUGGCUCGCUGUCAGAACGCAAAGGGAAACCGAGGAGCCAAAGAAAGGACGAGUUUCCAGCAUCGCAAAGACCCUCUGGAUUGCUUUCCUCCCUCCGGCCUUGGAGGAAGCCCAGCUCCCUCCUUUAUUCCCUAAGGAAACGCGUUACGGUACUCGGAGCCACAAAGUGCAUCGCAACCCUAAAAAAAAAAAAAAAGCCGGAGCAAAGGGCAUUUUAAACGCUUCAGGUUUGAAAGCACGCGUCGGGCAACAGCGAUCAUGGCGCUGGAUUUCCUCGCAGGCUGCGUAGGAGGUGCUGCUGGUGUACUGGUAGGACAUCCAUUUGAUACAGUUAAGGUGGGUUUCUUUUCACAAGGUUUCUUGGAAUAUGUUAUUAGACUGAAGGCAGUACUUGCCCUUACAAAGAGAAUAGGGAAGAGAUCUAGAUAUUUGAGGCCAUUUAAGUAUAAUACCUCCAAGGGACCUUCCAAUAGAUUGCAGUUAUACUAAAACACUGCAUCCCAUGUUGCAUUCAACGUUCCACAGAAAUGGAACAUUUAGAGUUUCAGAUUAUAUCAUCUCUUGUUCAAGGCACUUAAAAAGUCUUCUGAUGUAUAUGUCUUCAACCAUAUUUUUAAUAUGACAUCUCAAUGGCAUCUAAUAAAUCCUAGGUAUAAUUUUGAGUGUACAUAACUCAUUUGUAUUAAAAUAAAAUUUUAAAAUGCACUUUCCUUAAUCCUGCUUUAUCUGGUACACUUAUUUUAUUUUGCAUUUGAAGCAAUUAAUUUGUUAAUUAUAUUGACCAGAUGACUGUUUGCUGCAUGAUGAAACAGUCUUGCUGAUUUAAUGUGCUUCUUCCCAUCCAAGAAAAGAUGUUGUGAGUUUUCAAUGACAAUUUUUAUUUUCUUGUUUAAGACAUGGGUGUAUAUUGACUGCUGUUGGAGAGUUCAGUACUAGAUUAUUUGUCAAGAAAUUUUUUUUAGUUUGGGUAAUAUUCGCGGCUAUAAGGAAGUCAAUAAUAUUCAAAACAGGACUGUGAAAUAAGAUAUUAAUAAUGGGAGUACAAGGAUUCCAAGUUGCAAACAUAUUUGCAUCUUUAAUUCAGGGAAUUCCUCACUAAAAUAUAUGGGGCUUAUUUUGGAAUAUGAAUGUGCAGGGUGAAGCUGUAUGCUAAGAAUGUAAAUUAAAACAAAUGGGCUUAAAUCCAAGUGUUUCAGCUUGUAUGAGAAUUACAUAACCUUUUUUGAAGAGAAAAUAUGCUGAAUAACACUCUGUAAAUAACCUUAAAAAGUAAAGGAAUAGUUAGCCAUAUAAGCCUUGAGAAAUGUACCUUCUUGGCUUAUAAAGCAUUUUCUAAUUAUUUCAUGCUAAGAAAUAAUCUUUGCUAUGGAUUCAUUCUAUUAAAUUGCACAGAACUUCUUUUCACAUUGUUUCUUAUCAGAACAACUAGGUUUUAGGAGUUACACUUACUCCUGCAUAUAUUAUAACUAACAGGUUCACAGAAUGAGUUGGCACUUCUGAAUUGAAAUUUAUUUUAGUUUAAUUGUUUUGGUGUAUUUAUAUUUCACCCAUCACCUAUCACAAACAUGGUAUCUGUGGGAUGUUUAAGUUGAUAUUCACUGGCUAUCUUAGUUUAAAAACAAUUAUUGCAUCACAUACCCUCAAACUGUGUCUGAGGACCAAGUUAUAUGUAUUCUUGAAAACAUGUUCAAUAUAUUUGCUUUGUAAGAAAACUCUAUCAUAUUUGGGAGGUUACUUAAUUUAUCACAAAUCGCCGACUUUUAUAAUUUGCACAAUUUCAACAUGGAAACAUAAACAAUUUCUAUAAAUACACAUACCUAUAAAGCAUUUAUCUUAAAUGCUUAGCUCGCUACUGUGUUGUUAAAGGAACAGUGAUAUGGCUAGUCACACGGAGGAGGGGAAAUCUGUUUUGCAGAUUUAUUUGAAAGCACUGAGGGAUUAGCUUUCAAGAUAAUAUGAACAGGAUUGUAUCAUUGCUUUAUUAUAAUCUAAUUUAUUUUAAUUGCUUUUGUUGUUUUAUUUUAAUAAAACAACUAAUUUUACAGAAAGACAUUUAUUAAAUCUUUGUUAAGCCUUACCUAAUAUGACAGUCUUUUCCUGAUGAAGCUUUAAUACUGCAGCUAGGCACUAUUUUUUCUUGAAUGCUAUUUUUUUAAAAAAAUAAAUGUAAUGGAAUUUAAAGCAAAGUUUAAUAACUUUCAAGUAGCUGUAACGAUUAGUUUGUGGGACGGGGAGGGUAGGGCUUGUAAAAUGGGGAAGAUGCUGAGCUGUUUUGGAACCAGCUCUUCAAAUGGAGACUCCUGCCCCACUUUGUUGAUGUAAUGUGUACAAUUGCUUUGUUGCUUAACUGCCUUUACUUUUUGAGCUAGGGGCUGUCUUCAUUAACAGCAAAAGUGUUACUUUGUUGUAGAUGACAGAUAAGCCUCAUCACGGGAGAGUUACCUAGUAAGUAUAGACCAGGUGAACAUUCUGUUUCUCUCGGUCUUAAUUUUUUCCAACAUUUAUGAUUAGUUCAAAGCAAAAAGUACUUUCCCCCCCUUUUUUUAGUUUUUAAAAUGUUUCUACAGUGGAGGGUGUGGGGUAUGUAAUGCCUUUAAAUAUAAUCUGUAUUUCUUUUUAAAGAAAAGUCUAACAUUUGCAAUUUGUUCCCUAGUGUUUUUCUUUGUCCCCUUUGUGCUUAAAGUUUGUAUACCUGUGCUAACAAGCAAAAGCCUCUUAAAUUGUGAAUUCUGUUUCAGCCUUUCCUUAAAUCAGGAACCCAUUUUUCAUUUUCCCCAUACAGCUAUGACUGCUUUGUGUUAAUGAGUUUUAGGUAUUGCUACUGGAAUGAUUUCUGAGCCCACUCUUGGUAUGCUUGUUAGUAUUUUGAAUUGCCAACAUUUGAUUGCUACUCACCUUUACAAAAUAAGAAGAAAAACUAGGAACCAUCUUAAUAAAAAUGAUUUU